RNAcentral lists this non-coding RNA (30 nucleotides) under Rattus norvegicus (Norway rat). The record is from RNAcentral. Lineage: Eukaryota; Metazoa; Chordata; Mammalia; Rodentia; Muridae.
UUCAGCGUUAACACAUCCUGUCUAUCCUGA